CGCUGAGUUUGAUCCUGGCUCAGGAUGAACGCUAGCGGCAGGCCUAAUACAUGCAAGUCGAACGGUGAUAGCAAUAUCAUAGUGGCGCACGGGUGCGUAACACGUAUGCAACCUACCUAUUAUUGGGGGAUAGCCUUUGGAAACGGAGAUUAAUACCGCAUAAUACGAUUGACUGGCAUCGGUUGAUUGUUAAAGCUUUGGCGAUAAUAGAUGGGCAUGCGUCCAAUUAGUUAGUUGGUUAGGUAACGGCUGACCAAGACAAUGAUUGGUAGGGGAUCUGAGAGGAUAAUCCCCCGACACUGGGCACUGAGAUACGGGCCAGACUCCUACGGGAGCAGCAGUAGGAAUAUUGGGGCAAUGGAGGGAACUCUGACCCCAGCCCAUGCCGCGUGCAGGAUGAAGGCGUUAUGCGUUGUAAACUGCUUUUAUAUAGGAAGAAGCUACUCCCGUCGUGAGGGUAGCGUUGACGGUACUGU
RNAcentral lists this ribosomal RNA (476 nucleotides) under uncultured Flectobacillus sp. RNAcentral's name for it is "bacterial SSU rRNA". It matches the Rfam family "Bacterial small subunit ribosomal RNA", at positions 1 to 481 of the family's 1533-position model. Lineage: Bacteria; Pseudomonadati; Bacteroidota; Cytophagia; Cytophagales; Flectobacillaceae. The record is from RNAcentral.